CAGCAGCCGCGGUAAUUCCAGCUCCAAUAGCGUAUAUUAAAGUUGUUGCAGUUAAAAAGCUCGUAGUUGGAUUUCGGGAUGGGCCAGUUGGUCCGCCGCAAGGUGUGUUACUGACUGGUCUGUUCUUCUUCGCAAAGACUGCGUAUGCUCUUCACUGAGUGUGCGUAGGAUUUACGACGUUUACUUUGAAAAAAUUAGAGUGUUCAAAGCAGGCUAUCGCUUGAAUACAUGAGCAUGGAAUAAUGGAAUAGGACUUUGGUCCUAUUUUGUUGGUUUCUAGGACCGAAGUAAUGAUUAAGAGGGACAAUUGGGGGCAUCCGUAUUUCGUUGUCAGAGGUGAAAUUCUUGGAUUUACGAAAGACGAACAACUGCGAAAGCACUUGCCAAGAGUGUUUUCAUUAAUCAAGAACGAAAGUUAGAGGAUCGAAGACGAUCAGAUACCGUCCUAGUUCUAACCAUAAACGAUGUCGACUAGGGAUCAGCGGGCGUUAUUGUACGACCUCGUUGGCACCUUACGGGAAACCAAAGUUUUUGGAUUCCGGGGGAAGUAUGGUUGCAAAGCUGAAACUUAAAGGAAUUGACGGAAG
This 587-nucleotide ribosomal RNA is filed under the name Eudendrium californicum. Its description in RNAcentral is "SSU rRNA". It matches the Rfam family "Eukaryotic small subunit ribosomal RNA", at positions 568 to 1162 of the family's 1831-position model. The record is from RNAcentral. Lineage: Eukaryota; Metazoa; Cnidaria; Hydrozoa; Anthoathecata; Eudendriidae.